GUGUGGUGCACGCUCUUAGCUCACUGGGUGAGUAAUGUCUAAUUGGUAGCAGGUUGCCAGGCUCUCCCCAAGCCCAGUAUACAUGCUGAGACAGUGACCAGUGCUACAGUGCAAGGGGUGCUGAGACUCAGGCUAGACUCCUUACCAGAACUCCAGACUCAGUUUCCCUCUGGUAUUUCUUCAUAGCCUUUCUUCCAUGAUGAGAUGUUUGAGGCACUUAAAGCUUUCUUAAUUAUUCCCCCAAGAAUAGCUUGGAGCAUGCAUCUCACAAGCUCUUCUUUGAGAAAUCAAGAUAACAACAACAACAACAACAACAACAACAACAACAACAAAAGCAACAUAGUCUCUGUGGAAAAAGGACUGAAUCUCAAAUAUUGGAUAACUGGUCAGAACAUACAUGUACUUAAAUUUCCAAAGAUAUUGAAAGUUUUUAAAAAAUAUAAAGAGUGAUCCCCUUCUCAAUAGCUAUAUAGUACAUAUGCUUGAAGGCGCUAUGUUCACUACUAGAAGAGAAAAAUAAUCAUCAAUAUUACCCUCUGUGAACCCUAAGAGCUGUAAUAAUGACCAACCUGGGCAGGUUCCAUGUAUUCCAGCCACACACCAC
Mastomys coucha (southern multimammate mouse) is the source of this 604-nucleotide long non-coding RNA. RefSeq lists it as uncharacterized. The transcript has 4 exons. NCBI's taxonomy places the organism in Eukaryota, Metazoa, Chordata, Mammalia, Rodentia, Muridae. The record is from RefSeq and is a predicted model, not a curated record.